This 449-nucleotide ribosomal RNA is filed under the name uncultured bacterium. Its description in RNAcentral is "partial 16S ribosomal RNA". It matches the Rfam family "Bacterial small subunit ribosomal RNA", at positions 29 to 523 of the family's 1533-position model. The record is from RNAcentral.
AACGAACGCUGGCGGCAUGCCUAACACAUGCAAGUCGAACGAAGGCUUCGGCCUUAGUGGCGCACGGGUGAGUAACGCGUGGGAAACUGCCUAUUGGUGGGGAAUAACGACGGGAAACUGUCGCUAAUACCGCAUAAGCCCUUCGGGGGAAAGAUUUAUCGCCGACAGAUGUGCCCGCGUCCGAUUAGCUAGUUGGUGAGGUAAUGGCUCACCCAGGCGACGAUCGGUAGCUGGUCUGAGAGGAUGAUCAGCCACACUGGGACUGAGACACGGCCCAGACUCCUACGGGAGGCAGCAGUGGGGAAUAUUGGACAAUGGGCGAAAGCCUGAUCCAGCAAUGCCGCGUGAGUGAUGAAGGCCUUAGGGUUGUAAAGCUCUUUCGGGUGGGACGAUGAUGACGGUACCACCAGAAGAAGCCCCGGCUAACUUCGUGCCAGCCGCCGCGGUAA